Molecule: long non-coding RNA, 30788 nt
Filed under: Lactuca sativa (garden lettuce)
Lineage: Eukaryota; Viridiplantae; Streptophyta; Magnoliopsida; Asterales; Asteraceae
Description: long non-coding RNA (LSAT_LNC004619)
Source: RNAcentral
GGAGAGGGAUGCCUUAACCCUAAUUGCAGAAUAUUUGAAGGUAAGUGAAUGACGAUUCACUAAUUUCCACCACGAAAAACGAAAAAGAAAUUUAUGUUUUAAAUCUAUGAAAACUCCUAGAUCCUUUGAGAUUCAUUGAACUUUCAAUGGCAUGUUUAAAUCUCGAUAUGCCCCUCUUGUUUGUGACUGGGAUGCCGAGGAUCACAAAGCGGGUGUGAAUAACCAUGCAAACUUACAUGGUGCCCUCACAUGUUACAGUCACCUAUUCGAUGUGCCGGUAAACCACACACGCUCCACCGAACUAUGACAAACAUUGAGUCACCCUUUGCUACCUUUGCUUAGAACCAUUUAGUGUGCCGGUAAACCACACACGCUCCACUAACGUCUUCGCAAGGGCACAAAGUGUAAUUUCAUGGAAUUGCAUCAAUUCACUUUUGCCUAAGUAACUAAGAUUGGGAAUUUUAUGAAAACAUUUAGUUACUUUAAUAAUUCAUUAUACUUAUAAUGGAAGGUUUCGUCCUAUCCUACCCGUUCGGCUAACGACCCUCCACUAGUCAAGAGUGCGGUGGGUAAGAGUGGAUACCCAUUCAAUCGCCAUUUUAUAGGCAAUUUCCUUAAACACCCCUUAUAGACCAGCUUCGUGAAUGAGGCCUACUAACGGUAAGACUGACUUUUACUCAUACAUAUAUAUAAUGUUAGACUUUUAAUGUUAUAUAUAUAGUAUAGGGUGUAUUUUAUACUUUUAAAAUACUAGGUGGUCUAAUUUAACAAUUAUACUUUUAAUUCAAUUAAAUUGUAAACCUAAACUUUUAUGGAUUUAUUAAACCUCUUUUAAUUAUACACCUUAAUUAAUUAAUAAAACCAUAAGGGUGUGAUUUGAACCUUUUCAAAACAAUGCUAGGGUUUUAGAAUUUAACAUUCCUAAUUAAACUUUUAAUCAACUUUUAAAUUCCAAAACUUGAGGGCAAGUUUUGAAACAUUUCAAAACAUUAGGGUUUAGAAUUUAAAUAUACAUCAAAAUUAAACAUUUAAUCAAAAUUUAAAUUCCAAAACUUGAGGGCAAGUUUUGAAACCUUUUUCAAAACAUUAGGGUUUUAACUAUUUAAAUUUCAAAACAACAAAACUUUUGGGUUCAAAUUUAAACUAUAAAACCUAAAGGGAUUAAUUUGAAACUAUUACAAAGUUUGUCAAGAAUAUUCUAGAUCACAUAAUUCAAAUAAGGCAAUUAACUAUAAUUGGUGGUUAUCUAAUUAGAUCUAGUUCAAAUUCUUGCAAGAUGAUGAUCAAAUAAUUUCCAUAACUUAACAUAUAUCAAAUAAGGUAACAAUUAUCUAAUUAGAUGACCAAAAUCUUUUAUUUUGACAAGGAUAAUCAUAAGGGAUUAACAAAAUUCGAAUUUUAUUAAGUUUAAACAAUUAUUGCAAUUAUCCUAAGUCAAAAUAGGUAAAAAUCCCGAAAAACCGCCUGUUUGACAGCUAAACUCGUCGAGUCCCAUUAUGGACUCGCCGAGUAGGGGCCUACUCACCAAGUCCACAAUGGGACUCGCUGAGUAGAUCAGGCAGGAGGCAAAAAAACAAUUUUUUUUCAAGCGUGAACAAAUUAACAAGGCAUCAAUACAAUAAAAACCAAUCAAGUCUCCGAUACCACUGAUGGGUUUUGGUCAUAAGAACAUCCUAUGUGCUCACACAAACCCUAAUGCUUGGAUCUAGGUUUCUCUAUUGUACAUGCAAUUCAUCCAAGACUAUAAACCCUAAUUCUAGCAUAUGGAAAUCAAUAUUAACAUAUAAUUAGGUUUAAGAUAUUACCUUGAUUGUUAUGUAGCAAUAACAAUCCCAAUUCCUCCUUGAAUUGACUUUGGAAGGCUUAGAGUCACAAGUGUCACUCCUCUAAUGGUUCACAAACACCAUAAGCAAGAGGAUGAAGAGGAGAGAGGAUGGAGGCUGCCCAAAACGUGUUCUAACCCUAGAAAAGAAGUUCCCCACGUUUUUGAGCCUUAAGGGUUCUAUAUAUAGUGAGGCUAUUAGGGUUAUCUAACAAGGAAACCCUAAUUUGGAUGCUUAAGCCCUAAGCAACCCAUGGACCCCUUUCCUUAAGGCCUUGGAUGAUUUCUUAUGGGUUUCCCCAUAGAAUUCGUCCACUCCUUAAUAUAAGACAAUCCAUAGCCCAAAUUGCAAUUAUCUUAUAAUUACAAUUCCAGUCCCUUAAGUUUAAUUAAUCUCUUUUAGUCACAAAAUUAAUUACCAAUUAAUUAUUGACUAAUAUUAAUUAAACAAUAUGAUUUCUCCUUUAAUAUAUUAUUCCCAUAAUAUAUUAAUAAAUCAUAUUUAAUCAUUUCUCUUCAUAAUUCAUCCUAUCAAGUUGCUUUGGUGAAGGCAACCCAAAAGGACCAUGCACCAUCGGGUCAAGUACAUACCAAAAUAGUUAUGGACUUAGACACUAAUCCAACAUGUUGAUGUUAGGUAUUUUUCCAUGUUUUGAGGCAAAAGCACAUAUAUCUUGUUGUUAUCAAUCUGAAGAAACGUGCUUUUGAGGUUAUUGAUAAUGGUGUAAAUGAUGUUGAUUUUGAUGAUAAGUAUGGUGUAGUUUUUAAACUUCUUAUAAGUUUCAAAUGAUAUUUAUAAUUUAGAUUUGAAAUCAUAUAUGAUAUGUUUUAUAAUUAUUAUACUUAUAUUUUUCUGAUGUCAAAUCAUAUAUGAUUUUAGAAAAAGUAUUUUUAAAGUAUCUAAAAGAGAUCAAUCAUGUUAAAGCAAAUGAAAUGCCUGAUAAAAAUCUUACACCGGUAAGAUUGAUAAUGCCAUGGAUGACAGUUUAUAACAAAGUGGAUUGUGAUAUUUUUGCUAUGAGACAUAUGGAGAGUUAUUUUGGAGAAAAAUGUUCUAAAUGGAAAUGUGGUCUUCCAUAAGAAGGUGCUUCUCAAGAAAAAAAUAUGGAAAAGUUGAGAAUGAAAUAUGCAUCAGUAGUUUUAACUUCUAAAAUUAAUACAAAGCGUGAUGAUGUGUUGAAAGCUGCCUAUGAGUAUCAAAUAUUUGAUCAAAAGAUUUGUGGUAAGCAUGCAUAUGAUGCUCAAUGGAAUAUUGAAAGAAGGUUGUCGGAUUUUUUUUGUUUGAAUAUUUUCUUAUUUUAGAAGUAAAUGGAUGAUGUUAUAAGAACAAGUUUGUUUAUGUUGCGUAUGUUAUGGAUAUUAUUAAGAAUGUAUGUUUAUCCAAAUCGUUCCUAGCUUGUUUAUCCACCUCUUCUUCUUGGAAAGAACACUAAAAAGGCCACAAUGCACUCUUUAAAUCUCAAAAAUGGUCUCACAAGAUUCUCUAGAGUGUAAGAACUUUCUAAGGCAGUGGAGGCUCUCUAGGGUUAAGUCCAAUGGACUUAAUGUUGCUUAAAUAGGUCUCAUGUCCGAAAAUUAGGGUUUUGGACCCCUGGCAUGUACGCUCGACGUACAUGUUGGUACACCUAGUGUAUGCCCAGCUCCUCCACGUCCAUCCAUACAUAGUACACUAAGCGUACACUUAAGUACGCCCAACGUACUUAAAGGACCAAUUUUGGAAAAAUGCAAAUUUCUUGAGGGUUUCAAGACAUACCAGAUUUAGGGUGUUACAUAAAUGAUUGCAUGUAUUGAAUAAACAGUUAAUAGAUUACAUAAUUAUUUUUAUUAGUAUAAUCAUAAAUGAUUAUGUAAUACCACUUUAUAUGUUUUAUUUAAUCACAAGUGAUUAUAUACUUUUGUAAUCAUAAAAGACAUUAAGUUAGAUAGAAGAAGGUUUAAGAUAGAAAAAACUCAAGAAAACUGAUUUUUCGUACUACUAAUAAAAUCAAAGAAAGAAUUAUCAAAGUAAAUUCUAUUUUAUAAAAAGAGUAAAGUGCAUCAAACAAAAAGUAUAUUAUUUAGAAAAAAAGUCAUGAAUUAUUCAUUACUAAUUAAACUAGUAAUUAUCUAUGUAGCUUUUGAUGAUUGUUCUGCUGCAAGUUUUAUUGGGCAAGUAUGCAAGUUAUGAGUAGCCCUUUCUCCACAUCCUGAGCAUCUUCUUGUCUGCUAGUUUGAAUUUUUAUAUUCUAUUUCUGCUGCACUUUGAAUUGUAUUUUUCUUUCCACUUCCUUUAUUGCUUUGAACAUUUAUAACAUUGAUGUCAAUGUCUUUUGGAAUAGAAAUUCCAAUAAGCUUUCCUACCUCUUCAACAUAUGUCCUAUUUUUUUUGCAAUUCAAUAGUAGGAUCAUUCUCGUAUUCCUUCAACAUGCUUUCUGUUUUCUUAACAAACAAAUCCAUUUUGUCUUUAUUUUUUCUUACGUAAUCCAAACAUGCUUCAAAGUUGUAGUAUGCUUGAUUGAUAGAUCUAUUAAUUUCACUGUCUCCUGUAUCAUAUACAUGCCUACCAAGGUGAUAAUGCCUUGAUAUCACGUCCUUUCCCCAACAAUUCUUAAUGUACUGUUCAGGGAUUUGCUUAAUUCCAUGUUUCAAGAGUAGGUUGAAUGCAUGUCUGCACAAAGUGCCAAAGCGGUUAAAGUGUUCACAAGUACGUUUUACAUCAUUUAUUAGAAGUUGUAUUUCUACUUGUUUAAAAUAAAAUUAAAGCGUUAAGUGUUUUAUAAUCAUAACUGAAAUUUUUUGUAUAUUAUGUUUUGAUUCAUCAAAAUUUAAAAUAAGAAUAUAUUACCUCAAAUUCUAUUUUUAGAUCACUGUUUUUGUUCAGUUGUUCCAAUUUGUAUAACUCCCAUCUGUUUUUUGUUCCAACAUGCUUGUAUUGGCAGUACCAGAAACCUUUGUAGAUUUAUUUAUGUACUUAUAAAAGCUUUUGCAACAUGUUUUUUUGUUGGUUGCGGUGAAAUAAUUUUAUAUACUGCCUUCUUUGUUUGAUGAUCAAGCUCAUUUUGUGCGUUUGUUUGUUUUUGAAUUGUUAUGUCAUAGUUCAUCAUGAAAUGUAAAAGUAAAUUUCCAGAUUGCGACUAAGUGUUGAAGAAGGAAUUCAUGCUUUCUGAUCUUGAAGUGGUUUUCAUUAAUCCAGACAUUCGAGUAUCACUGAAGUAUGCAGGUAUCCAUUUUUCACAUAAUUCAAACAUAUCAUUGAACCAUCUUUUAUCUUCCAGGUUGAAUUCAUUAAUAAUCAACUCCCACUUCUUCUCAAAUUCAUCAGGUUUGAUAUGCAUGUUCCAUACAAGCUUGUUCAAUCUCUUGUUGAAGUUUUUGUUUUUUAAUAAAUCGCAGUAACCUAUGAAUGAACAAUUUUGUUUAUGUAAGUAUAAAUUGUAUACUUAUUUGGAUAUACCAUAUAUGUGUAAUCAUAUAUGAUUAUAUACAAUAAUGUAGGAUUAAUCAUAUAUGUGUAAUCAUAUAUGAUUAAACAUUUUCAAAUAUAAUCUUUGUUGUAUACCCAGUAAUUAUGUAAUUAUGUUGUUCGAAUUUGGUUUCCUCUUGAUAGAACUUGUAGCCAAUGUAUCACAAGGUUUUGGUUUAUCCUUGCCACCCCUAUUGCAUAUAACAUAUUUUUUUAUUAUUUGGCUAUUGUAUUUUGAUAGGCUACAAAGUAUUGUAUGAAAACAUGCCAUUUCUGCAUAAUCAGUAUAUAUUUUUACUGCCAAAUUUAGUGAUUUGAAAACGUUGCUUACAUCUGGUGCAAAUUCUGUAGGGACAUCUGGUUUAUAUUUAGAUUCUUCGAUUAUGUUAUUGCAAUAGGAUUCAAUUGUUGAAUUGGAACUUUCACCUGAUAAAAGAAGGGAAUGACAAAAAUCUUAUUAUAUAAUUUCAUGAUGUAAUAAUCAUAUGUGAUUAAAGAUAUGUAUUUAUAUAGUGUAAUAUAUUAUUAAUUAUAUUUUAGUAUGAAAAAUCAUAUAUGAUUAUAGAUAUUAAUAUAUUAUUAGAUGUUAAAUCAUAUGUGUUUGUACAUUAUCUUAUAUGAUUAAUCACAUAUUAUACUCUAUAAUUAUAUAUGAUUAUAUUAUUUAAUAUAUAAUUAAUCAUAUAUUUCGAUCUAUAAAAACAUAUGAUAAAUGAUAUAUUUUUGUAAAUUGUUAUAUAGGAUUAAUCAAAUGUGAUUAUGUAUAAUCGUAUAUGAUUAUACACCGUAACUUAUAAUUAAUCAUAAUUUAUACUAUAUAAUAAAAAAAGUUAGAAUGAAAUGUAGAAAUUGUAAUGUAAUAUGUAGUAUUAAAACCAAUUAUGUGUACCUUCAGUACGAGUCGCAUUUUGAAGUUCUUCGGAAGUCAAAGAAAUUGAAUCGAUUUUUUCGUCGUUAUGAUGUGAAUUGAUUUCAGCUAUAAUAAUAUCAGUUGUGAUCGACUCGUCAACUUCGUUUGAAUUCGACAUCAUUUAUGAAAAUUGAUUUUGAUUCAAUUUUCAAAUGAUCUAUUGAUCUCCUGAAUUCCGUUGAUUAAUGCGAUGUGUUUGUUUUUUCGAUUUGAGGAUUAUGUCUCGUAUUUAUAAAGAUAUGAACUGAUGCUCUGUCUCGAUCGUUUUUUUCGAUUUGAAGAUUGCAAUUAAUUUGAUAACAAAUUCAGUAAAUAUAGGAACAUUAUGAUGAUAUUGAAUGAUUUUUCAAGAUUGAAUGAUAUGCUUACGUGAUUGAUACUGAGAAUCGAUGAUUUAGCGAUAAGACGAUUUUUAGAGAAAAAAUGUGUCUGGUUUCUAAAUAUUAAGUUGAAAUUUACUGUUAUACCCUUGCAUCAUUUAACAGUUGACGUAAGUUGAGGUUAAGUUCCAUUGGAUGAUGUUUAAUCUCACAAUCUCUAAUUUUUUAUUAAUCUCAAGGGAACCAUCCCAUAUAUAUAUAUAUAUAUAUAUANNNNNNNNNNNNNNNNNNNNNNNNNNNNNNNNNNNNNNNNNNNNNNNNNNNNNNNNNNNNNNNNNNNNNNNNNNNNNNNNNNNNNNNNNNNNNNNNNNNNNNNNNNNNNNNNNNNNNNNNNNNNNNNNNNNNNNNNNNNNNNNNNNNNNNNNNNNNNNNNNNNNNNNNNNNNNNNNNNNNNNNNNNNNNNNNNNNNNNNNNNNNNNNNNNNNNNNNNNNNNNNNNNNNNNNNNNNNNNNNNNNNNNNNNNNNNNNNNNNNNNNNNNNNNNNNNNNNNNNNNNNNNNNNNNNNNNNNNNNNNNNNNNNNNNNNNNNNNNNNNNNNNNNNNNNNNNNNNNNNNNNNNNNNNNNNNNNNNNNNNNNNNNNNNNNNNNNNNNNNNNNNNNNNNNNNNNNNNNNNNNNNNNNNNNNNNNNNNNNNNNNNNNNNNNNNNNNNNNNNNNNNNNNNNNNNNNNNNNNNNNNNNNNNNNNNNNNNNNNNNNNNNNNNNNNNNNNNNNNNNNNNNNNNNNNNNNNNNNNNNNNNNNNNNNNNNNNNNNNNNNNNNNNNNNNNNNNNNNNNNNNNNNNNNNNNNNNNNNNNNNNNNNNNNNNNNNNNNNNNNNNNNNNNNNNNNNNNNNNNNNNNNNNNNNNNNNNNNNNNNNNNNNNNNNNNNNNNNNNNNNNNNNNNNNNNNNNNNNNNNNNNNNNNNNNNNNNNNNNNNNNNNNNNNNNNNNNNNNNNNNNNNNNNNNNNNNNNNNNNNNNNNNNNNNNNNNNNNNNNNNNNNNNNNNNNNNNNNNNNNNNNNNNNNNNNNNNNNNNNNNNNNNNNNNNNNNNNNNNNNNNNNNNNNNNNNUUAAAUCUUCAUAUUUUAUAUUUUUCUAAAUAUAGAUUUUUAAUAUUAUAUAAGAAUCACCAAAUCCAAACAUACAUUAUAAUAAAACCCAACACGACAAAAACUAAGACUUGUCAUAUUUGAUUUUAGCUUUGAAAGAUCACUACUACUACAGUCUGCAAACAUACUAAAAAAUAGUAAGUUUACACAUAGCUUUUGAUAUAUAUAUAUAUNNNNNNNNNNNNNNNNNNNNNNNNNNNNNNNNNNNNNNNNNNNNNNNNNNNNNNNNNNNNNNNNNNNNNNNNNNNNNNNNNNNNNNNNNNNNNNNNNNNNNNNNNNNNNNNNNNNNNNNNNNNNNNNNNNNNNNNNNNNNNNNNNNNNNNNNNNNNNNNNNNNNNNNNNNNNNNNNNNNNNNNNNNNNNNNNNNNNNNNNNNNNNNNAAGACAACAAAAUAUACAUCAAUAAAAUGCAUAAGGUUUUUUUUUUGUUUUUAAAACUACUAGGGCAUCUCCCAAAGGAAGAUUUAAUAUCCAAACUUGCAUCAGUCUUGCAAUCUUGUUCACCGCCUAAUCGUGAUCCUCAAGUCAUUUGUUAGGCGUGUAAAACCCAACAAAUAAAGGGGUACGAUAUAUUCCAAAAUAAUUUCACUAUAUUGCACCAAAAUGUAGUACAAGGCAAGCAGGGUCGAUCCAUAGAAACACGGGAUAAUUAGUCUAUACCUCUUUGCACAAUGUACUAUAGUCACCAACAGUAAAAAGGGGGUUUAGAGUGCAACGUCNACAAACAAAUUAAAAACACACGCAAUCAGCUAAAUGAGUGAAUUAGAUUCAGAUUUUGUAAGGACUCCAACUUCAUGUAUUACGACUUAGCAAUGUGACUCAAAGAUGACACAAUAUUCGUUCAAUUCUAUCUAAGUUGGUACUCGAAAGUGCUAAUAAGCUCUAACACUUCCCAUUCACUAUAUUAAUUAACCAAAACAAGCUCAUUGAUUAACCCUAACCUUAUUAACCUAAUCUAAACAAUCUCUUAGAAUUAGGUUAUAAGAUUGCAUGAAGCUUUAUGUGAAUGUUCCCAACAACACCCAAUACUCCUCAUAAGCUCGGGAGUGUAAAAGUGUAUGAAUAAGAUUUACACUAAAUUCAUUCAAUAGAGAUCAAUUUAAUGCUUGUUACUUGUUCAAUUUCACAAAACAAUUACGGAUUUUGUAAAAGAGAUAACUUGAAUGACCUAACCCUAAUUCAAAUGGCCAAUAAGAAUCACAAUUAGAAUCAAACAUUCGAUUGAAGCAAAAUCAAAUUCAUUAGAUAGAAAUUAAGAACAAACAUCAUGUCAUAUGAUUGAAGUCACUACCAAGAAGUCAAAACAUGAAAUUGGAGAAACUAGGGUUCUAGCCACACAUGGCUAGAACAAGAUCACAAGAAUAAAAGAUGGAAUUAAAGUGCAAUUACAACUUACAAAUACUAGAAAUAAUGUUUCCAAAUGAUUGCUAAUCAAACCCUUGCAAAAAACCUUUGAAAAUCCUCCUACAAAUGUGCACUGAUAUGUUGUGUGUGUCAAAAAAAUGGCCCUUAACCCAUAAUAUGAAAGAUAGGAAAAACUGUCAAAAGUUGGUUUCUGGGUCGAACACGGCCCGUGUUGAACAUAGAGUAAAUCUAACACAGCCCGUGUUCAGCAUGGUCAACAGCUCCUCUUUUUGGUCAACACGGCCCGUGUUGGUUUUGCAGUGUAAAUCCAACACGACCCGUGUACCCCUCUUACUCCAAAUCCAAACUUGAUUUUUUCAACUUUUUUGUUCUUUGCCCGAUCAUCCCAAAAUCUUCACCAAUGCAUCCCGACACUUCCUAAAGUGCGUUCCAACCUCUGGUUUAACUGAAAAAGACAUGAAAAUGUGCAAAUAAGGUUGUUCUAGAGACUAACAUGAAAAAUGAUGAAAUGCAAGACAAAUGAAGAAUAAUUAUGCUAAAUAGAUGCAUAAAAUGGGACUAAAAGGUGUGCAAAAAGGUGCACAAAAUGCACUUAACAUCAUUCAACCAUGCCAACAACUUCAUGCUCAAAUAAUCGUCAACGAGAUCAACCAUGUCGGUCUUUUGGGUUCAAGAUUACUUGAAAGGUAUAUCCUUUGUUGAAAAAUUCAUUGAUGCAAAGACAAUUUUGGCACCAGAAGGUCUAGGCGGCUUGUUCACUUGUGAGAUAGAGUUUGUAACCAUCAACUUGUUUAAUAGCCCAUGUUUAGAGCUUUAUAAGUCUAUGAGCUCUUAACCGAUUAAGAUGUUUUUGAGCUUAAAUGUCACACCCCUAAACCAGAAUGGCGGAAACAUUCGGGGGUGGAUGACUUCACGUAGUAUCAUAACAAUCGAAUAUUGUAAAGAAAGUAACACAUCCAUCGUAUAUAUAAUAAAAAAGGUACAUUGUUGCGUUAUACAUAUUUCCAACAAAAUAUUACAAUAUGAUGAUAUAAAAUGUUUAAUAAUAAACGCCUUUAGCGUCCCUUCUUCAAAAGCUGGCAGUUACCUGUAUUACUGAUUCCCUGAGAAAUACAAGUGGUUUCGAAAAAGUGUCAACAAUAAAGUUGGUGAGUUAAUAAGUGUUUUGUAUUGAAAAGUGUGUCUUUUUGGUAGAAAAUCGAUGAACGUGGUUUUUAGAAAAUCCAAUAUUUUCUAUAUAUAGUUUGAAAAGUUCCCAAAGUUGGAGUGCGUUAGUAUUUUUCGUACUUGAAUGAUAAAGAUAAACUUUGUGCUCAAAAUAAUGUAAAUACUGAAUGCAUAUAUGAGUCUCGUAAAUCCAUCUUGUUUUUAUACAUUCGUGUGAGUUUUAUAACCAUACUAUUGACUCAGACUGUCUGUAACAACAUUCUUUAGGUGUUGUAGUGUUAUGACAUUUGUCACCCCAGACCUGCCGGUCUAACUGUAGCUAACAAUUUAGGUGCGGGGUUGUCAAUCCCGUAUAGAUCUAUACACAAGUAUCACGCUCUCCCUCCAAGAGAUUAUGGCUUAUAAUACAGGACUUGAAAUGCAUACAUAAGAGUACGUUGAAGUUUGAAUAUCUCACAUUACUUAGUAUAAAUAGAUUUACGAUAAGAAAGUCUUUAUUUCACUUUAGAUAAAAGUAUUUCGUUUUUCAAAAUGUAUACGUAAGAAUGUACAAAUAACUCGCAAACUAUACCCUGUAUAGUUUUUCAGAAAGUAUGUUCCAUUUGGUGAAAAUAACUUGGUGAUAUACUAAAUUUUAUACGUAAAGAUAGUUGUUGCAUUUAAGUUUAUAUAAAACGAUACGUUUUCUUGUAUUGUACUUGUAUUCCCCCNCCCCCCCCCCCAAAACAUGAAAAGACUUGAAAAGUAGGGGUAUGAACUCACCUGUUUGGUUUGGAGACAGAGAGAGAGGGUCUAGAGUCGAGCAGAACUUCAACCGUGGAAAGCUGCGUCUCUGAGCUUCUCGGGGAUCUCGGUGGCGUAGAACCUUCGUCGGGGCUCGGGUGCGGAAAUCGAGGGUGUCGGGACGGCUUCUGUUGCUUGCAAGUGUGUGAGAGUGAGUGUGAGUUUGAGAAUGUGUGCCAAAAAUCCGGAGCUUAUGCCUUCUAUUUAUAGGGCUGGAAAGGCGAGUACGCUGGGCGUACCACCGGAGUACGUUGGGCGUACCACUAGAGUACGCUGGGCGUACUUCGGUUACGCUGGGCGUAUCUUUGCGUCAUGGCUUACGACUCGAGUCUAGCUAGGCGUAGAGCUGCAGCCAAUGGGACUCGACCCUGCACCUGAGUAUGCUGGGCGUACUCCUACAUUACGUUAGGCGUAAUCCUGGCUUCCAUCUUUUAAAUCCCGUAACUUUCGCGUAUGGGCUCCGUUUUUGGCAUUCUUUAUAUCCACGCGUAGGUGAGUUUAUGCUCUACAACUUUCAUUUAGACUCCGUCGGCUAGUUUUGACUUUAUUUUUAAUGCUAUGUUUUUAAUAGGCCGGGACUACUAAAGUCCGUUAAAAAUUCAUAGUUUCUUUAUCUGACGUCGGUUUUCGUUUGUCUUUUUAUCAUUUUACUCCUUGGUGAUAUACUAAAUUUUAGCCCUCUACUACUGUUAUGAAACUUAGAAAAUUCGUAACUUCUUCAUACAAGGUCCAAUUUGGGCGAUCUUAUUAUCUACGUUUACAAUUUAACGAACACUACAACUUUUGUUUAGAUACUUAAGUCUAGAAUGCAUUUUAUUGUAAUUUCACUUUUUACGUUAAAUAGUGUUUUACCGAGUGUGUCGUAAAUAUUUGAGUGAUUAUAGUUUCUUCAAUAUAACCCGGUUUCGAAUGUUCUUUAUGUUUUUGGAAACCUUGGCACGAUAUCUAACAUUUGAUGCAUCCCAAUUUAGAUAUUUGAACAAUUUAUUUUUUUUAGGAUAAUUUCGUUGAUUCCAAAUAGUUUUCGUUGUAUUUGACUUUUGAGUGUUACAUUGCUUUUGAGAAAUAUAAGGUCGUCACAUCAUCCCCCCGUUAGGGGAAUUUCGUCCCGAAAUUUAAUCUAAGAUUGCGUUUACGGGUUACGGAAGAGAUACGGGUACUUUUGUUUCAUUUGAUCCUCGCGUUCCCAGGUGUAUUCAGGUCCUCGCUUGGCGUUCCAGUGGACCUUUACAAUAGGUAUGCGGCUUUGUUUAGUCCUUUUUAUUUCCCUAUCCAUGAUCUCUACUGGUUCUUCUACGAAUUGGAUAUUCUCGUUUAUUGCAAUUUCGUCUAGAGGGAUGACAAGGGUCUCAUUGGACAAGCACUUCUUUAGGUUUGAUACGUGAAAGGUAGGGUGUACGUUGUGGAGUUCCUGAGGUAAUCGAAGUUUGUAAGCCACCGGCCCGAUCCUGGAAAGGAUCUCGAAUGGUCCGAUGUAUCUUGGGUUCAGUUUCCCAUGCUUUCCAAAAUGUAUUAAUCCUUUCCAGGGCGAGACUUUUAGUAGGACUCGGUCUCCAACCUAGAAUUCCAAGGGUUUCCGUCUUUUAUCCGCGUAACUCUUUUGUCUGUCCCUUGAUGCUUUCACUCGCUCCCGAAUCUAAACAAUCUUCUCCGUAGUUUCCCUUAUGAUUUCUGGCCCAGUGAGCGUGUUGUCUGUUGCUUGUCCUUUUGCUAGUUGUGUGUCCCCCACUUCAGCCCAGCAUAGAGGUGAUCUGCAUUUACGGCUGUAGAGGGCUUCGAUCGGGGCAACCUUGAUACUAGUGUGGUAGCUAUUGUUGUACAAGAACUCGACCAAGGGUAUAUGGGUGUCCCAUGCUUUGCCAAAAUCGAUUACGCAAGAUCUCAACAUAUCCUCUAGGGUUUGUAUGAUUCUCUCACUCUGGCCGUCAGUUUGUGGGUGAUAAGCAGUACUCAUGUCUAGUCUUGUUCCUAGAGAUUUUUGUAGCGACUGCCAGAACCUUGAGGUGAAUCUACUAUCUCGGUCCGAGAUAAUGGAUAUGGGCACACCAUGCAGUCGUAUAAUCUCUCUAAGGUAUGUUCUAGUUAGUUUCUCCAAUUUAUCCGUUUCUUUGAUCGAUAGGAAGUGCGCUGAUUUAGUUAACCUGUCGAAGAUCACCCAGAUGGUGUCGAGUCCGCUUGCCGUCUUGGGUAAUUUGGUUAUGAAAUCCAUGGUUAUCCGUUCCCACUUCCAUUCGGGUAUUUCUGGUUGUUGCAACAAUCCUGAGGGCUUUUGGUAUUCUACCUUGACUUUGGCAAACGUCAAACAUUUGCUCACGUAAGUAGAAAUUUCGGCUUUCAUGUUCGGCCACCAGUACAACUUCUUGAGGUCCAAAUACAUCUUAUCGGAGUCGGGAUGUAUGGAGUAUCGUGUCUUAUGGGCUUCGUUCAUGACGACUUCUCUGAAUCCACCAAACUUCGGUGUCCAGAUCCGAUCCAUGAAAUAAAGAACUCCAUCGCUCUUGGCUUCGAGAUUCUUAUCCAUUCCCCUUAGGGCUUCUUUUGUCACAUUUUCAGAUUUCAAGGCUUCUAUUUGGGCUUCCUUGAUUUGCGUGGAUAGGUGUGAAUGGAUUGUCAUAGUUAGAGACUUCACUCGGCGGCCCGAGUAUUCCUUCCGACUGAGUGCAUCAGCCACUACAUUAGCCUUCCCGGGAUGAUGUCGGAUUUCAGUUUCGUAAUCACUUAGUAAUUCUACCCAUCGUCUCUGUCUCAUGUUAAGUUCUUUCUGGUUGAGUAUAUGUUGGAGGCUUUUAUGAUCGGUGAAGAUUGUACAUUUCGUGCCGUAGAGAUAGUGCCUCCGUAUCUUUAGAGCGAAGACGACUACUCCUUGCUCAAGAUCGUGCGUCGUGUAGUUUACUUCGUGCGUCUUUAGUUGCCUUGAGGCGUAGGCGAUGACCUUCCUUCGUUGCAUCAGGACACACCCAAGUCCUUGGUUUGAUGCAUCGCAAUAGACCACGAGUCCUCUGUUCCUUCUGGCAAGGUUAGGAUGGGCGCACUACAUAAGGCUUGCUUUAGUGUCUGAAACGCAAUGUCUUGAUUUUCUCCCCAGUUGAAGGUCACACUCUUCUAAGUUAGGGUGGUGAGUCGCUUGGCAAUCUUUGAAAAGUUUCGUAUGAACCUUCGGUAAUACCCAGCGAGUCCCAAAAAUUGCCGGAUUUCUGUAGGGGUUCUUAGAGUUGUCCAACUCUCUAUUUCCUUGAUCUUGGAAGGAUCCAUGUGUAUUCCUUCUUUGCUUACAACGUGCCCUAGGAAAUCUACUUCCCGAAUCCAAAACUCGCAUUUUGAAAAUUUUGCGUAUAGCUUCUCUGUCCUCAAUGUUUCCAAAACAUGGCUGAGGAGUUGGCUGUGUUCUUCCUGGCUUCUUGAAUAGAUGAGUAUAUCAUUUAUGAACACGAUCACGAAUUUAUCCAGGAUGGGAUGACUUACUCGGUUCAUCAAGUCCAUGAACACCAUUGGUGCAUUUGUCAAUCCAAAGGGCAUCACUACAAACUUGUAGUGACCAUAGCGUGUUCGGAAUGCCGUUUUGGGGAUGUCUCCUUCCAACACUCGCAGUUGGUGAUAACCAGAUCUUAGAUCGAUCUUUGAAAAGUAGCUUGCUCCCUGUAGUUGGUCGAACAGAUCGUCUAUGCGCGAUAGGGGAUAUCGGUUCUUGAUCGUGAGUUUGUUCAGCUCCCGGUAAUCGAUGCACAUGCGAAAAGAUCCGUCCUUCUUCUUCACGAAUAGGACCGGUGCUCCCCAUGGUGAGAAGCUCAGUCUGAUGAAGCCCUUGCUCAGCAGCUCGUUUAAUUGAUUGGACAGUUCCUACAUCUCGGCGAGGGCUAGACGGUAAGGCGACUUUGCUACUGGAGUAGCUCCGGGGAUUAAGUCGAUUCUAAACUCGACUUGGCGUUCUGGUGGGAUCCCUGGAAGAUCUUCUGGGAAAAUGUCUGGGAAGUUGCAGACUUCCGGAAUGUCUUUAAUGUCCUUCGGUUCUUGUUUCUGGUCUACUCGUGGGCUAGAAAGGCAUGAUACUCCUUGCGAAGAUAUUUUUGUGCUUUAACACAGGAGAUGAUUUGUAAAUUCGUAUUAGGUUUGUCACCAUAAAUGACAAGAGUUUCGCCGCUUGGCAGAUUGAGGCGAACGGCCCUUUCGUGACAAAGUAUAUCGGCAUGGUGAAGACUUAACCUGUCCAUACCGAUGAUGACAUCAAAACUUCUUAUCAAAAUGGGCAUAAGGUCGAUUUGAAAUAAGUGCUCGUUUAAAUUUAAUGUGCACCCUACGUACAUAUCACUUGUGUUUUCUGUUUUACCGUUUGCCAUUUCUACAGUGAAUAUUUUAUUGAGUGGUUGGGUUUUUUGAUUAAGUAGGUGUUUGAAUUUAUGACUCACAAAACUUCUCUCCACACCGCAGUCAAAGAGUAUGCAUGCAUAAAUGUUGUUGAGGAGAAACGUACCCGUAACCACCGUGGGGUUAGCUAUUGCUUCCUUUUGACCUAUCUCCAGCACUCUCCCAACACCGCCAACAUUCUUUUCCUUGGGGCAAUCCCUCUUCAAGUGUCUAGUUUCUCCACACCCAUAACAUGCCUAGCUUAUCCCAGUACCAGGAACUUGAGUGAUUGGUCGCGCCGGUGUCUUACAGAAAUGGGCAGUCUGCCCUUUCCUGUCGCAGUUUUUACAGUGCAUUUCGCGGCAAUUACCGUGGUGAUGGUAGUUGCAUUUGCUGCACUUUGGCAGGUUCCCAGCAUAUUGUUUUGUUGGCGCAGGGAUAGCAGGAGUUGUAGUGGGAGCAGUAGCGGGAGCAGUAGCGGCAUGAACCAUCACCAUUUGUUUCUUUGAAGGUUCUUGCGAAGUUUGCCCCUUUCUCUUGUUCCAGAAUUUCUUCUUGCUGUUGUUGUUGGCAUUGCUCUCGUUGUUGUUGUUCACUUUGGUUGGUUCGGCGAUGAUAUCCGUGACGCCUUGAAAGACACCAUGAUCAACGAGAGAUUGCGCCAGUUCCUUGGCGCUGUCGAAGGUCAUGGGUUUGGAAGCUAACACACUCCCUCGAAGUUGGGGUGAUAGUCCCCAGAUGUACCUCUCCACCUUUUGGCUUUCCAGGAUCAACAUCCCUGGGCAAAGUAUUAUCAAGUCACUGAAUCUGUUGGUAUAGCCUGCGAUGUUCGAGCCUACCAUCGUAAGGCCCCACAGUUCCUGUUCGAGCUUCUAAAUCUCGCCUCUUGGGCAGUACUCUCGUAGGAGCAUUUGUUUCAGGUUUUCCCAACCCAUGGAGUUCGCCACCACUAGGGUGAGUGCCUUGACGUGGCCGUUCCACCAUGUCAGGGCUCGUUCAGAGAAAGUAAAGGCAGCAAAUUUUACUUUGCUUUCUUCAGGGCAUGUGCAAAUUUCGAAUACAGCUUCCGUUUUCUCUAUCCAUUGGGAUAUAGCCAUCACUCCCCCAGUCCCAUAAAAGAGAAUAGGUUUUCCGUUGGUGAAGUCUUUGUAAGUACAUACCCCAGAACGACCUUGGCUUUGGCCAUUUGUAAAGCUGUUUAUUCCUCCUCCUGACCCGUUGUUGCUCAUUUGAGCCAUUGCUGCGGUUGCAACGGCUGUUACAGCAGUUUGGAACAUAGCUGCAUGCAUAGUUGGAGGGGGCGGUGAAGGUGGUGUUGGAGCUGAGUUUCUGUGUGUUGAUCUACGAGGAGGCAUGUUCUAGUAGAGAAAUAAUAAUGAACACUAUAAGUUUCUAAUGAUUUGACAAUCGGGUACUAGAGGGUUAGUUGUAUCUUGUAAUUUGUUUUAACUUUACUUCAAAGUAGAUAUAACAAUUUAGAUAAUCCCAUAAGUUUCGAGAGGUAUGUAAGGAAGUACUUUAUAUUUAUAUAUGUGUCAGACAUACGGUGCGUUACAUUAUGCUUCAUGUUUAGGAAAAAUUUGACCUNCCUAUCUAGAGGUCUCCGAUUACAAGUACAAAGGAAAUAAGAAAAACUUUAUCUGAGGUCCUAUUCUAUAUCAAAAUUGUUAGAGUUGAGCAAGUUCUACUUGCGGCGUGUUGUGUGUUUGGAGCUAGACUCGGCAUCCAACUGCUUGACUCCCAUUAGGCGCCUUUCGAGAACUACUUGUUGUUCCUUCAUCUCUCUUAUUUCUGCCAGUGCUGUCACCAUUUGGUUCUGAAGCAUCCCUGUGUGGAGUUGGGUACUUUCGUGUAGUCCUUCCAGACGGCGGAUGUCUGCGGCGUUACCCUAUGUAGCAGCAUUGAUCUCACGAACUCUGGCCGCUUGCAUGUCUGCAUGGUAGUUCUGGGUGGCUAUAGUGCCCACAAUAACGGGAAGCGCUCGAUCAGCUGAGCCUCCCCCACUGACAUUGUAAAAAUCUUGACACAUGCCGAAAGGAGGGCGUACACCUAGUUGGCGGCUCCAGUAGUAGAGAUGGCUUCCCCAAAUGGGAAUGGAAGUUUGGCAAGCCCUUCGAACAUCGGGAGGAUGAGGAGCGGGAGGGUCGAUUACUUCCAGCUCGAAGUCUGUCCCAUCAGUAGCUUCUUCUUCCUCCUCGACCUCCUCGUCGACUUUGAAUUCCUCUCUGACUUCGACUUCGAAUUCUUCUUCGACUUCCUCUUCGAUUUCCUCCGGGUCUUCUUCUAUCCAUCCGCCAUUGCCUUGGUUUGGGUAGUAGGGAUCUCCCGGUAAAUGGAAUCUGGCCAUUUGUCUGUACUAGGAUAAAGGUAUGAGAUUUUCAUAAGAAAAGAAAUUUUCUAUUUCACGGCAUCCUAAGCUUAACUACAUCUUAUGGUGUGUAGGUUUUUCAUUGUCCUAUUAUUUUAUAACAAUUCUCCUAUAGUAUUUCAAAUUUGCGAGUUUAAAAGAAAAUUUUUAUCUGGUAAGUUUUUGACUUGUUGUCCACUACGACCAUUCGUCGACGUACGUUGGUCCAAUCCAGGAUAAAUAUAGUUGAUCAGGCUAUAUUUAUUCUCGAUUUGAUUACAUACCUCGAGGCCCAAUUGUACUGUCGCAACUUGUCUUAAUACUUUUUAGAAAACUUUGUCAUGAUACGAGACUGAUACAUGCGAGUAAAAAUGUAUGUUUUUAAAAGAAAAUAUAUUGUUUAUGAAAACGUUUUGUCAGAGGGUUUUUGGUCCCCUUUGCAUUUAUAGUUUGUAUAUCCUAUGUGGUUCGAUAUACUUAGUUCACUAUAAACAAUGCUCUGAUACCAAUCUGUCACACCCCCAAACCAGAAUGGCGGAAACAUUCGGGGGUGGAUGACUUCACGUAGUAUCAUAACAAUUGAAUAUUGUAAAGAAAGUAACACAUCCAUCAUAUAUAUAAUAAAAAAACGUACAUUGUUGCGUUAUAUAUAUUUCCAAAAAAUAUUACAAUAUGAUGAUAUAAAAUGUUUAAUAAUAAACGCCAUUAGCGUCCCUUCUUCAAAAGCUGGCAGUUACCUGUAUUACUGAUUCCCUGAGAAAUACAAGUGGUUUCGAAAAAGUGUCAACAAUAAAGUUGGUGAGUUCAUAAGUGUUUUGUAUUGAAAAGUGUAUCUUUUUGGUAGAAAAUCGAUGAACGUGGUUUUCAGAAAAUCCAAUAUUUACUAUAUAUAGUUUGAAAAGUUCCCAAAGUUGGACUGCGUUAGUAUUUUUCAUACUUGAAUGAUAAAGAUAAACUUUGUGCUCAAAAUAAUGUAAAUACUGAAUGCAUAUAUGAGUCUCGUAAAUCCAUCUUGUUUUUAUACUUUCAUGUGAGUUUUAUAACCAUACUAUUGACUCAGACUGCCUGUAACAACAUUCUUCAGGUGUUGUAGUGUUAUGACAUUUGUCACCCCAGACCUGCCGGUUUAACUAUAGCUAACAGUUUAGAUGCGGGGUUGUCAAUCUCGUAUAGAUCUAUACACAAGUAUCACGCUCUCCCUCCAAGAGAUUAUGGCUUAUAAUACAGAACUUGAAAUGCAUACAUAAGAGUACGUUGAAGUUUGAAUAUCUCACAUUACUUAGUAUAAAUAGAUUUACUAUAAGAAAGUCUUUAUUUCACUUUAGAUAAAAGUAUUUAGUUUUUCAAAAUGUAUACGUAAGAAUGUACAAAUAACUCGCAAAUUAUACCCAUUAUAGUUUUUCAGAAAGUAUGUUCCAUUUGGUGAAAAUAACUUGGUGAUAUACUAAAUUUUAUACGUAAAGAUAGUUGCUGCAUUUAAGUUUAUAUAAAACGAUACGUUGUCUUGUAUUGUACUUGUAUUCCCCCCCCCCCUAAAACAUGAAAGAAUUGAAAAGUAGGGGUAUGAACUCACCUGUUUGGUUUGGAGAGAGAGAGAGGGUCUAGAGUCGAGCAGAACUUCAACCUUGGAAAGCUGCGUCUCCGAGCUUCUCGGGGAUCUCGGUGGCGUAGAACCUUCGUCGGGGCUCGGGUGCAGAAAUCGAGGGUGUCGGGACGGAUUCUGGUGCUUGCAAGUGUGUGAGAGUGAGUGUGAGUUUGAGAAUGUGUGCCAAAAAUCCGGAGCUUAUGCCUUCUAUUUAUAGGGCUGGAAAGGCGAGUACGCUGGGCGUAACUUUGCGUCAUGGUUUACGACUCGAGUCUAGCUAGGCGUAGAGCUGCAGCCGAUGGGACUCGACCCUGCACCUGAGUACAUUAGGCGUACUCCUACAUUACGUGGGGCGUAAUCCUGGCUUCCAUCUUCUGAAUUCCGUAACUUUCGCGUACGGGCUCCGUUUUUCGCGUUCCUUAUAUCCACGCGUAGUUGAGAUUAUGCUCUACAACUUUCAUUUAGACUCCGUCGGCUAGUUUUGACUUUAUUUUUAAUGCUAUGUUUUUAAUAGGUCGGGACUGCUAAAGUCUGUUAAAAAUUCAUAGUUUCUUUAUCCGACGUUGGUUUUCGCUUGUCUUUUUAUCAUUUUACUCCUAUUGUGGAGACCUACAACUUUCGUUUAUGUUGCGUUAGCUAAAUAUCGCUUGAUUUUCAAUUCGAGUUUUUAGCCCUCUACUACUGUUACGAAACUUAGAAAAUUCGUAACUUCUUCAUACGAGGUCCAAUUUGGGCGAUCUUAUUAUGUACGUUUACAAUUUAACGAACUCUACAACUUUUGUUUAGAUACUUAAGGCUAGAAUGCAUUUUAUUGUAAUUUCACUUUUUAUGUUAAAUAGUGUUUUACCGGGUGUGUCGUAAAUAUUUGAGUGAUUAUAGUUUCUUCAAUAUAACCCGGUUUCGAAUGUUCUUUAUGUUUUUGGAAACCUUGACACGAUAUCUAACAUUUGAUGCAUCCCAAUUUAGAUAUUUGAACACUUUAUUUUUUUUAGGUUAAUUUCGUUGAUUCCAAAUAGUUUUCGUUGUAUUUGACUUUUGAGUGUUACAUUGCUUUUGAAAAAUAUAGGGUUGUCACAUUAAAAUGGAUCCCACACAUAGUAAUUUAAUCUAGAAAAAAGACCUUGUUCUGAGGUCAUAUGAGGAAAUUUUAUAUGUUCGAAGUUGAGUAAAAAAUUUAUAAAAUGUUGUAAUAAAACCCAAAAAACUCAACAGCCCCUGUUUAACACUUUAUAAGUCUGUGAAUUUUUAACCGAUUAAGAUGUUUUUUUAGCUUAAUAUGAAGCCUACACAAAAUACUACAAUCUUGAAAAAAAUGACAUUGUUUCGAGGUCAUAUGAAGAACUUAUAUACGUUUAAAGUUGAGUAAAAAAUUAUAAAAUGUUGAAACGAAAAUAGAAAAAACUCAACAGCCCAUGUUUAGAGCUUUAUAAGUUUGUGAAUUCUUAACUAAUUAAGAUGUUUUUUGAGCUUAAAAUGAAGCCCACACAGAGUACUACAGUCUAGAAAAAAAAACCUUGUUCUAGGUCAUAUGAGGAAGCUAUGUACGUUUAAAGUUAAUAAAAAAAUUAUAAAUUGCUGAAACGAAAACCACAAAACUCAACAGCCCAUGUUUAGAGCUUUAUAAGUCUAUGAAUUUUUAACUGAUUAGGAUGCUUUUUGAGCUUAAAAUGGAGCCCACAUAUAGUACUACUGUCUAGAAAAAAAAUGACAUUGUUCCGAGGUCAUAUGAGAAACUUAUGUAUGUUCAAAGUUGAAUAACAGUUUUAUUUAAUGUUGAAAAAAAAACUCAACAACCCAUGUUUAAAGCUUUAUAAAUAUGUGAAUUCUUAACUGUUUAAGAUGUUUUCUGAGCUUAAAAUGAAGCCCACAUAGAGUACUACUAUCUAGAAAAAAUUAACCUUGUUCUGAGGUCAUAUGAAGAAGUUAUGUAUGUUCAAAGUUGAGUAAAAAAAUUAUAAAAUGAUGAAACAUAAACCAAAAAACCUAACAUGUGUUUAGAACUAUAUAAGUUUAUGAAUUCUUAACAUAUUAAGAUGCUUUUUAACUUAAAAUGAAACCCAUACAGAGUACUAUAAUCUAGAAAAAAAAUGAGCUUGUUCCAAACUCAUAUGAGGAUGUCAUGUAUGUUCAAUGUUGAGUAAAAAAGUUAUAAAAUGCUGAAACAAAAACCAAAAACCAAAAACCAAAAAUCACAUGUUUAGAGCUAUAUAAGUUUGUAAAUUCUUAACAUAUUAAGAUGUUUGAGCUUAAAAUGAAACUCACACAGAGUACUACAAUUGAUAAAAAAAUGACAUUGUUCUGAGGUUAUAUGAAGAAGUUAUGUAUGUUCAAAUUUAAAUAAAAUGUUUAUAAAUGCUAAAAAAAAUAUAAUGCAUAAGAUUUUUUUGAAAGGUUUACUUGAAAUUUGAAGUCUCAAACCUAUCUUCUUAAAAUUCAUAUACUAUUUCAAUCUCAUUUCAUCCCAUCUCCUUGAGGCAAUUUAUCAAACAGGUGGCGUGCGUCUUUAAUGCAACCAUUUUCUACAUAUUUUGAUCAAGGAACUACAUACGUAAACAUCUUUCUCAAAUGACCACAUGCCUUUAUCACGUAUAGAAAUCAAGAGUUACUAAAAAUUAUUUGAAAGAAUGGAGACACCAAACUGGAUUUGAUUAAAAAAGGAACAAGUUUGUCAAACUAAUUAUAUUAAUGGUUUGGAGUUAAAUUUACCAGAGCAGAAAGUUGGUGUCAAAUGGGAUGUUGAAGGUUACCAACUCUUUAUCUCACAAGUGAACAAGUCGCCUAGACCUUCCGGUGCCAAAAUUGUCUUUGCAUCAUUGAAUUUCCAACAAAGUAUAUACUUUUCAAGUAAUCUUGAACCUAAAAGACCCACAUGGUUGAUGUCGUUAACGAGUAUUUGAGCAUGAAGUUGUUGGCCUUGUUGAAUGACUUGAGUAUCAGGAUUGGGGGUUAACAAGAUUGCAAGACUGAUGCAAGUUUGUAUAUUAAAGGGGUUUUUGACUUAUCUUUUUUAGAGACAAAAGUCAUUUUUGGAAAAGUUACAAAAAAGUAUGUUUUCCUAACUUUUACAAAAAGUCAGUUUUUCUUAUAUCAAAAAUCCAAAAGUAGCUUUUAAAAUCCUUUUACCAAACAUCUUUUACAUUUUAUAUUUUCCAAAAAUGACUUUUGCCUCUCAAAAAGAUAAGCCAAACACCCCUAAAUAUUCCUUUUGGGAAAUGUUCUAUUUGUUUAAAAAAAACAACUUAUGCAUUUUAUUGAUGCAUAGUUCGUUGGUUCGUUACCUCUUAAAGAGUUCACUAUUNNNNNNNNNNNNNNNNNNNNNNNNNNNNNNNNNNNNNNNNNNNNNNNNNNNNUUUAUUUUCUCGUGUUUUUGCUUAUAAUUGAUUGUAUCUCUAUAUGAUGUUCUUUAUAUAAAUUACAACCAUAAAUAUAAAUAUAUACAAAGUAUAAUCUCCCAACAUACAUAAAUGUCUGUCAAAAUGAUGUCUUUCUCAAAAGGAACUAACCCGUACAUCAUAUCUUUUUGUCGGGAUAAUGACUUAAAAGGUUAACAUAGUUUAGAUUAUAUACAUAUUUAGUCAUUUAUGUUUUUUUUGGACAUAUAUGAUCACUUAUGUUUUUUUAUUUUUUACACAUAUGACCAUUACCAUUACAUUUAAUGGUCAUAUGUGUAUAAAGUAAAAAAAAAAAACAUAAGUGACAAAAUCUGUACAAAAAACAUAAAUGACUAAAUAUGUUCCAAAAUAAACAUAAGUGGCUAAAUUUGUAUACAAUCUAAACUAUGUUACCAUUUUAAAAGCAUUAUCCAUUUUUAGUCAUAUACAUCAUUUUAUGUUUUUGAGUGGUCACCACCUGAUCACUCCAUAUUAUCACCACAUCACUACUAAACACCUAGAAAAUGACCACCAUUCCAUAUCACCUUACUAUACUCGUACCUUAUGUAGUAUAGGUUAUAGAAAUGAGAGAGAGAGAGAGAGAGAGAGAGAGAGAGAGAGAGAGAGAGGGGGAGGAAAAGUAGAUAGAGAUAAACAAACAGAACCACAAUCAACCAUGCCUACCAUGUCACCCUUGGGGUGGUGUUCACGCUGAGAACACACAUAAUGUUGUUGAUAACGACUCCACUCUAGUUAGCCUUAUGUCCACAACCGACACCCAACAUAUUUCCUUAAUUACUGGAGUAGUCUUCGCUAAUGGACAAAAUAUAUGUCACAUAGUAUGUAACCAUAAAAAUUAGAGAUGUAAUAAGUUUAUAAAAUUACAAAACAUUAACCAAAUAACUAAUACUUCGUUGUAAAUGUAUAGGGUUGUGACUCUAGCAGGCGAUAAACCUUUUUCUAUGUGAUGUUUCCUAGACUUGAAGCUCUUGAUACAAUUAUAAGUUGUAAGGUUUCAUAUUAUUUUAUUUUAGGUCAAUGGGUUUGGGCAUUGUGUUGUUCCUUAAGUACAAUUUAUGAUGCUACGAAAAUGUUAAUUUACCUAAUUUACUUAUUGGCUUUGUCGCUUAUAUGGUCGAUGAUAAGUGCGCAUUGGAGUUGAUGUAUUCAGAAGAUUUUUUGGUAGCUUCCUUACAUAAUCUACUUGAAAUGAUAAAUCACAUGGUCCCCAUCAUUUGAAAAACCCACGUCGAACUUGUCUCAUGAUCUAUAUGUGAAGUAAAAAUAGCAUAUCGGUGUCAAUAUUUUUGGGUGUGUCACUUGUCACGGUUUGAAACAUGAACAUCCUUUAUGAAAUUUUGCACAUGUUUAUUUUAUUUUUAUUUUUUUGAACGAAUGAAUAUUAUAAAACGACAGUAGGAAAAAGCUAACAAGGACUCAAAUCUAUUACAGAAGAACAUGCAAGAAAGGGUUAUGUAAUUAAACAAUCCAUUUAACAUGCAAUUUAUGGUUUCUAUGAACGGUUUUAUUAAAAGUGACCAAAACAAGUUUUUAAAAAUUAUAAGUUUUACGAAAAUCUUUUGAGCCGAACACCACAUAAUUCAUAUAAUGCCAAAUAAUCCAAAUAGUGGUCAUUCACAUUGCCUCGAGGAUUGAACGCUUUAACCGAAACAUUGAUCAAACAUACAUAAAAACAUAUUUCACUAAUUCGACAAAAAAUAGAAAUAGUAAUGUCUAGCCAACGACCAUCUCGGUCCCAAACUUUCUUAGCCACAUCACAAGUCAAGAACAUAUGGCGGGUAUCUUCGGUGCCAACACCACAACAAGGUAAAAAGAUAAAUACAUACCAACUUCCUGAUUCGCUAAAUUAAUCUAGACGAUAUAUAAUCCCAAAGAAGGAUGGUAACUUUUUAUUAUAUAAGCACUCCAUAUAGUUACAUUAUCUUCAUUGUUCAACACCAACUCAUCAAUAUAUGCUCUAUCCAAACCAACUUGAAAAUCUUUUGAAAUAAUUCCAAAAACUAUUUAUCCACCAAACCGAAGGGAACAAAAGACGAGAUUAAAUGCAACAUCCAUGCGAAUUGAGUGGCAUCCCCAUUCAUGGGUAUAACAAUCACCCAAUCCACCCAUUUCCGAGCCAACGAUCAUUUAUAAAAUAGUAUAAUGUUGUUUCCAACAAAAAUAAUCUCAAGAAUUUGUCCAUUAAGUGUUGAUAAAUUAACUCCAUUUAGAUUGAUUUCUCAUUCAAUUCAAUAUAAUUCCAUAUCAAACUUGAAAAGAACACAUGGUAGUUACUUGGUGCGAAUUCAUUUUUUGAGGGAAUAGAAGAUGAUGAUGUUACUCUGAUAUCUUGACCAAUUCUUUAAGGAUACCCACUUCAUAUGAUGGAGAGACCAAUCAGUUAAAUCGAUUAAUAUUGUGCUGUUGAUGUCUUGAGAAGUAAGAUGUGUGAGACAUAGAGAGAGCGUUUAGUUUGUUUAUGAUUCUCAUGAUUUAUUGGUGUAUCAAAACUAACUGUCCAUCCCCUUAUGUAAUUGUUAUGUCAUCCACAUACAUUAGACCAUUACAUGUCAAUGCUACAUAAGUAUAGGGAACAAAUAUGUCAUAAUGGCAACAUUAUGGUAUAAACUAUAAGUAUACAUGACUACCAAAACAUUAUAUAAGUGGUCCAAGGAAAUUAAAGCACUAAUUAUAUUCUAACAUUAUCCCGCUUUUCCUUGAGAUUAUUUAUGUAAGUUUAAUUAGUAAUUUGGUCAAAUAAUUUCAUCUUACUCUUUAAUGAUAUCAAAACAAAGAAAUACACCUCACGAGUCAUUAUUUAUUUUUAACCCAAGACCCUCAUCAAGUAUAAUUUGAUAUUUUUAAAGGGUAUAAGGAUUAAAAUAAGUCAAUAUGCCAUUUAGAUUAGGGUUUUAUGUUUGUUAAUGAGAUAAGUUAGUGUGCACAAAUAAGAUUAGACAAACAAACAUAUGGAGGAAUAUUAGGUCGAAUACUUGAAAUUAUAUCAAUAGUAGUAAUAAGAAAGUAAGGCGCUAUGCUAUAAAUAACUUACAAUAAGUCUUGAGUUAAGCCCAUAUUAGGGACACGUCAUUAAAAACAUUAGGAUGAAAACCUGUGGUGAGAUAAUAAGCAAGCAAAUCAUGUGUGCUAAAAUGUUUGAUACAAGUUUUGUUAGCUUAUAACUUUUAUGUCAAAAUGGUCAAAAGUAAGCAUCUUGAUUCAUGCAAUAAGUCUAAGUCACUACUUGCUAAUUGGAUGUCAUUGACAUAUAAUACCAGUGUAUUAAACUUGAUCCCACUCAUUUUAAGGUAUAUUUAGUUUAGUUGAAUCUUGUUAGAGUCGUUCAACUUCUCAGCUUCAUCAAAUUCAAGGUACCAUUUACAACAAGCUUAUUUGAACCCAUAUGUAGACUUCUUGAGUCUUAUUACCAACUUGUUAGGGGUGGUUUAAUACUAGAUGGUGACUCAUUCAUCUCUCAAUUCAUUGCGUCAUUAUUAAGAGAAGUUUAGGUUUAAUAAGGACUUUUAAGCAAGUCAUUAUGUAUAAUAGGCAAAAGAAUUACUAAUUCCCCUUCUCGGCCUUCUUAAAAGAUCAUUACAGCUAAAAGAACCACCACCACUCCCACUUGUAUUAGUGAUUUCAAGAAAUUCACAUUUCUAGUCUCGACAAUUCAAGUAGAGUGAGAUGAGUAAUAAAAGCAACAACGCAUAGACAUUUCAAGAUAUCUUGUAAUGAAACAACUAAUUGUCCUCAACUCAGGUUUCUUAAUAUGAGGAUUAUAAACUUUUUCCUAAGUAGGACAACCCCAUAUAAUUUUACAUAUAGAUUUUAAAGUUAUCUUAUUCAACAUGUAGGUUGCAGCUUUAAAGACCUUGGUCUAUAAGAUUUGGAGAAAACUUGAUUUUACAUAUAGAUUUCGCUCGCUGCAAUGUAUUUUGAUUUGCACGUUGAAUCAGCUACGGUUUCUUGCUUGGAACUUUUCCAUGUCACUGCUCCUCCAUUAAGGGUAAAGACCCAGCCCGACUGUGAAAGGUAGUUGUCCCUGUCGGUCUGUAAACUGGCAUCACUAUACCCUUGCACCUUUAAGUCAUCAUUCCCUCCGAGGACUAGAAACCAUUUCUUGGUCCUCCGAAGGUACUUAAGGAUAUUCUUGAUUGCGGUCUAAUGUGCUCUUCUAGGGUUCCCUUGAUAUCUACUGACCAUGCUCAAAGUGAAGGCCACAUCAGGGAAGUACAAGUCAUAGCAUACAUGAUUGAGCCAACUGCAGAAGCAUAAGGUACUUAGCUCAUCUCUGGUAUCUCGGCUUCGGUACUUGGACUUUGAGUCUUACUCAACUUGGCAUUACUUUGUAUCGUUAAUUCUCCCUUCUUUGAGUUUUCCAUACUAAAACGUUUUAGCACCUUGUCCAAGUAAGUAUUCUAACUAAGUCCUAUUAGUCUCUUACUUCUCUCUCUCACUAUCCUUAUUCCCAAAAUAUAGGAAGCCUCUCCGAGGUCCUUCAUAGCGAAGCACUUCCCAAGCCAGGACUUAACUUCCUACAGAGUCGGGAUGUUGUUUCCUAUGAGUAGUAUGUCAUCGACAUACAAAACGAGGAAGCUAACUAUACUCCCACUGGCCUUGACAUACACACAUGAUUCAUAUUCGCUUCGUACAAAUCCAAAUUCUUUGACUUUCUCAUCGAAGCAAAGAUUCCAUCUGCGAGAUGCUUGCUUAAGUCUAUAAAUGGACUUUUCAAGCUUGCACACCCUAUUAGGAUGCUUCGUAUCGACAAAACCCUCUGGAUGAGCCAUGUAAACUUCCUCAGGCAACAUCCCAUUAAGGAAAGCAGUUUUGACAUCUAUUUGCCAUAUUUAAUAAUCAUGAAAUGCAGCAAUGGCUAGCAUCACCCUAAUAGACUUUAUUUUAGCAACUGGUGAGAAGGUCUCAUCAUAGUAAACUUCGAGAGUUUGACUAAAGCCCUUUGCAACCAAUCGCGCCUUAUACGUGUGCACAUUCCCAUCCAUGUCGGUCUUCUUCUUGAAGAUCCACUUGCACCCAACCGUCUUACGUCCGGGCACAUGGUCAACCAAAUUCCAAACUUGGUUGUCAUACAUGGACUGAAUCUCGUUGUCCGUCGCCUCUUUCCACUUCGCAGACUCCGGGCCUAACAUGGCUUCCUUAUAGCAGUUAGGUUCAUCUAGAUUUACUAGUGUACUAUCACUAAUAUACAUGUCCCCUUCGGUAGUAAUAUGAAAACCAUACAACUGGGGUUGAACUCUAACUCUUCCGAAACGUCUAAGAGGUAAGGAUUCGUCAAUCGGUUUAACCGGAGUUUCCGCCUAGGGUUGAGCGCCAGCGUUAGAGGUUCCUUCAUCACUCGACUCUUGAAUCUCUUCAAGAUCGAUUUGCCUCCCACUGUCCCCCUUGGCUUAUGAGUUCUCACUCUCGGAAAACCCCUCUCCUCAUAACAAAAACAACAUUGUCACUCGGUCUAUAGAAGAGAUAUCCAAAGAAUUUAUGUGGGUAGCCGAUGAAAAUACAUCACUCACUACAAGGUUCGAGCUUGUCAUGAGCCUCUCGUCUUACGAAAGCCUCGCAACCCCAAACCUUGAUAUGUGCAAACGAGGGAGCUUUCCCUAUACACAUCUCGUGAGGUGUUUUGGCAACCUUCUUUGUAGGGACUAAGUUAAGGAUAUGGGCGGCGGUCUCUAAGGAAUACCCCCAAAAUGAGAUAGGUAGUGAAGCACGACUCAUCAUGGAACGAACCAUGUCCAACAGGGUUCGAUUAUGCCUCUUAGCUACACCAUUAAAUUGUGGUGUCCUAGGUGGCGUCAAUUGCAAAACUAUUCUGCAUUCCUUAAGAUAGUCGUGGAAUUCAAGACUUAAGUACUCUCCUCCUUGAUCGGAUCGAAGCAUCUUGAUUUUCCUGCCCAAUUGAUUCUCCACUUCUUGUUUAAACUCUUUGAACUUUUCAAAGGUUUAUGACUUGUGCUUGAUUAAGUAAAUAUACUCAUAUCUACUAUAAUCAUCAGUGAAAGUCACAUAGAAGCGGUUCAUGUCCCUUGUGGUGGAUAUAAAGGGCCCACACACAUCGGUGUGUAUGAGAUCCAAUAAACCCUCACCCCUCUCACAAGUGUCGGUGAAGGGUGACUUGGUCAUCUUUCCAAGUAAACAAGACUCGCGCACGUCAUCGUCCCCAAGGUCGAAUGACUCCAACACUCCAUCUUUUUGGAGUUGGGCUAUACGUUUCUUGUUAACAUGUCCAAGACGACAAUGCCACAAGCAUGCUUUAUCCAUACUAUUGGAAGAAUCCACACACAGUACAUCAUUUCCUAGGUUAUCUACAACCAUAACAGUUUCAUAAAUUCCAUUACAAGGCAAUGCUUCAAAAUAUAAAACACCAUUUAGAUAAGCAUAAAUUGAACCUUUCUCAUUAUCAAACGAAUAUCUAAAUCCUUGUCUAAACAAACCAUGAAAUGAAAUGAUGUUUCUUGCCAUAUCUGGCGAAUAGCAACAAUUAUUUAAAUCUAAACCUAAUCCAUUACUAAGCGCUAGAGAAUACACUCCAAUCUUGGUGACAUGCGACGAUCUUCUGUUCCCCAUGAUUAUAUUUAUUCUUCCACGCUCCACAUCCCUAUAUCUUCUUAGUCCCUGCGAAGGAUGGCUUGAUCUUCCCAUCCUUGAUGGAUUGUAGAUAUUCCGGGCAACUUCUCUUCCAAUGCCCUAUUUUGUGGCAGUAGUGGCACUCUGCCUCCUUUGGGUUUGAGUUGGGCUUAGCAGAACCAACUUUGGUUCCACUAGAAGAGGUACCAUCUUGGGGCUUUCCCUUGUGGUGACUCUUUGAAGGAGACUUCCUCUUCUUGCCCUUCCCUUGCUUAAUGGCCAAAACAGGAGCAACGGGUGGAGUGGGAUUUAAUGCAACAGACUUGUCCUUGAGGUUGCUCUCAGCAGUCCUUAGGAACCCUUGGAUUUUGCUUAAGGUGACCUCUUCUUUGUUCAUGUGGUAGGUCAUCCUAAAUUGGUUGUAGCACAAGGGCAAGGAGUGAAGAAUGAUGUUGAUUGCCAAAUUUUCCCCAAAGUUAACAUUUAAAUUGUGAAGACGAUCAACAUACCUUUGCAUCUUUUACAAAUGCAAGGUUAGGGAUUCUCCACUUCCCAUCUUAGUGGUGAUCAUGUUGGUGAUGAUCUCUUAGCGCUCUUGCCUUACGCUUUGGUGGUACCUCUCCAACAAAUCUUGGUGCAUUUCGUACGGAUACAUGCCCUCAUAGGACUUUUAGAGUUCAAGGUUCAUUCUGGCUAGCAUAAUGCAAUGAACUUUCGAUGCAUCACGCUCAUGGGUCUCAAAGACGGCCAUUUCUUCGGGAGUAGCGAUUUACGGAAUGAUCUUUUCAAGCUUCUCGUUGAGGACAUAUUCUCUAUCCUACUAGCAAGCAAUCAUGUGAAUGUAUCUUAUCCAUUCGUUGAAAUUCGAUCCGUCAAAUGUCACAUUUUCACAUAGGCUCAUUAGCGAGAAUGAACCAGCAGCAGCGUUGUUUGCGUUUGUGUUACACAUAUGCAAAUAGAAAGGAAAGAAGUUUGAUUAUAAUUGAAUCCCUAAUUAAACACCCAAAAUGAGAAAUUAGGGCAAGGAUCCAACAACAUUAUUUACACAUUAGAAAAGGGAUGUCGUAAUCCAACAUGCAAAUAAUUUUGUAGGUAAGUGAACGACGAUUCACUAAUUCUUCACCAUGAAAAACAUAAAAGGUUUAGGUUUUAAAUGUAUUGAGAAUUCCUAGAUUCCUUUUGAGAUUCAUUGAACAUUUCAAUGGCAUGUUUAAAUCUCGAUAUGCCCCUCUCGUUUGUGACUGGGAUGCCGAGGAUCACAAAGCGGGUGUGAAUAACCAUGAAAAUGUACAUGGUGCCCUCAUUGUUACAGUCACCAAUUCGAUGUCCCGGUUAACCACACACACUCCAUCGAACUAUGACAAACAAUGAGUCACCCUUUGCCACCUUUGCUUAGAACCAAUUAGUGUGCCGGUUAACCACACAUGCUCCACUCACUUCUUAGCAAGGGUGCAAAGUGUAAUUUCAUGGGAUUGCAUCAAUUCACUUUUGCCUAAAGUAACUAGGAUUGGGAAUUUUGAAAAAAAACAUUUAGUUACUUUAUAUAGAUUCAUUAUACGUAUUAAUGAAGAGAGGAUUGCCCUAUCCUACCCGUUCGGCUAACGACCC